This 468-nucleotide ribosomal RNA is filed under the name uncultured bacterium. RNAcentral describes it as "partial 16S ribosomal RNA". It matches the Rfam family "Bacterial small subunit ribosomal RNA", at positions 28 to 507 of the family's 1533-position model. The record is from RNAcentral.
GACGAACGCUGGCGGCGUGCUUAACACAUGCAAGUCGAACGGAAAGGCCCUGCUCUUGCGGGGUGCUCGAGUGGCGAACGGGUGAGUAUCACGUGAGUAUCCUGCCCUUGACAUUGGGAUAACUUCAGGAAACUGGGGAUAAUACCGGAUAGGAGCUCCUGCUGCAUGGGGGGGGUUGGAAAGUUUCGGCGGUUGGGGAUGGACUCGCGGCUUAUCAGCUUGUUGGUGGGGUAGUGGCUUACCAAGGCUUUGACGGGUAGCCGGCCUGAGAGGGUGACCGGCCACAUUGGGACUGAGAUACGGCCCAGACUCCUACGGGAGGCAGCAGUGGGGAAUAUUGCACAAUGGGCGGAAGCCUGAUGCAGCAACGCCGCGUGCGGGAUGACGGCCUUCGGGUUAUAAACCGCUUUCGCCUGUGACGAAGCGUGAGUGACGGUAAUGGGUAAAGAAGCACCGGCUAACUACGUG